Molecule: ribosomal RNA, 406 nt
Filed under: uncultured bacterium
Lineage: Bacteria
Description: partial 16S ribosomal RNA
Rfam family: Bacterial small subunit ribosomal RNA
Source: RNAcentral
AUUGAACGCUGGCGGCAGGCCUAACACAUGCAAGUCGAGCGAGCGGCGGACGGGUGAGUAAUGUCUGGGAAACUGCCUGAUGGAGGGGGAUAACUACUGGAAACGGUAGCUAAUACCGCAUACCAUCGGAUGUGCCCAGAUGGGAUUAGCUAGUAGGUGGGGUAAUGGCUCACCUAGGCGACGAUCCCUAGCUGGUCUGAGAGGAUGACCCACCACACUGGAACUGAGGCACGGGCCAGACUCCUACGGGAGGCAGGAGGGGGGAAUAGUGCACAAUGGGCUGAAGCCUGAUGCAGCCAUGCCGCGUGUGUGAAGAAGGCCUUCGGGUUGGAAAGCACUUUCAGGGGGGAGGCGUUACUCGCAGAAGAAGCACCGGCUUACUCCGUGCCAGCAGCCGCGGUAAUAC